CAGAGUUCAUGCCCUUCGGGGUAGAUCUCCCACCCUUGAUAUUUCUACCUUUGUUGCUUUGGCGGGCCGCGGCCCUCCGCUACCGGCUCCGGCUGGUAUGCGCCCGCCAGAGGACCCAACUCUUGUUUUUAGUGAUGUCUGAGUACUAUAUAAUAGUUA
Molecule: unclassified non-coding RNA, 159 nt
Filed under: uncultured Ascomycota
Lineage: Eukaryota; Fungi; Ascomycota
Description: sequence contains ITS1
Source: RNAcentral